This is a long non-coding RNA of Dicentrarchus labrax (European seabass), 5389 nucleotides long. RefSeq lists it as uncharacterized. The record is from RefSeq and is a predicted model, not a curated record. Lineage: Eukaryota; Metazoa; Chordata; Actinopteri; Moronidae. The transcript is spliced from 2 exons.
ACAAACAGAACAAUGAGAACCAGAUUCCCUUGAAGCACAGCAUUUGCGAAUCAAGCUGAGAAAAGUGAGCACCACCUGGGUGUUUUAUUGGUACUGAGCUGCUAAAUCGGCUUAUUAUGCAGAGCUAUUAUCGCCGGGAGUUGAGGAAAUUUCACAGUGUUGGCAAAGGACACAUCUCCCGAACUCCUGGGUGAAAAGUCAUGGGUCCAACCCAUCCAUCCACCAUGGUUUCUUCCAUACGCUGAGUUCUUUGCUCUUCACACGGCUCAUCAUAAUUACUAUGGCCACUUGAGGUCGCCGCCUAACAAUCAACGUAAACAUGGGUCGUAAUAAGCUGCUUUCACGGGCGAUCAAUACAGCCGAUUUUCUGGUGAGGACUGGGACACAUUUGCAUAACUGAAACUCCAAGUUGCUACACAGUUGCUACAGUGUAAGUAAUGGUUUCUGGCUGGGCUGUCUGUUCUUGCUGGAGACAUUCACUUACCACCAUUCAAAUCUCUGGCCAAGCUUUUGUGUGUGACACCAAACCCUGAAAGUAGCUGCUAUUCAGCACAACCAGCGCAUGUCUUUUCAAAUCUGGACUCCCCUCAAUGUGAAUUACGCCUGACCUGGCAACCCUGCACUUCCCUCACAUCUCACCCUCUCUCCCUCUCCUCAUUAGCACUAACCCUAUUCCAGGUCAAUACGUAUGGCACAGAGAGAACACACACUACACACACUUACCCUCUCACACAUUUUCUAUCCCAUUCUUUCUCUCCCUCGAAGUCACACACACUCACUCUGUCUUUUUGUGAGUCUCUCUUUGUCUUGCUUGCUUUAUCCCCGUCUCUCCCACACACACACACACACACACACACACACACACACUGCUGAUCAGGGCAGCCGAGCAGGCAGGAGUCUGACCUCAUUAGGAACUACGGCAGCCAGCCAGGGGAGGGUCUGUCGAUGAAUGACCAAGAAAAAGUGUUGAGGGAGGAGGAUGGACUGAUCAGAGCACCAGGAGGAGAUCUAAUAGUUCCUCCCCUGUUGGAUGCUUUCAUAUGCAGUCAAGAUUUUAUAAAUAGUACUCCCCUAAAUAUUUGAAGGAUAAUUUAUCAAUGUCCCCCCUCAGGAUCAUCAGGUCAAAAUUUAGUUUGUGACCAAAUUCCAGAAAAACGAUUGAUAUUCCCAUUAGCCUCAAAUGUACUUUGUGUUUAAUGCUAAUGAGCAAAUGUUAGCGUGCUAACAUGCUAAACUAAGAUGGUGCAUAUGGUAAACAUUAUACCUGCAAAACAUCAGCGUGUUUGCAUUAUCAUUGUGAGCAUGUUGACAUACAUACAGUGUCACAAAGGCAUUAGCAUGGCUGCAGACUAAACGGUCAUCAACACCAAGAACAGUAACUGUAACAAUAAUGAUGCCGAUGUGAGUAUCUGAUGAAUGAUAACGUUCGUACACACAAGCUGCACAAUCCAGCUGCACCAGCAGCUUAAUAGUCAAGUGUACAUACAUUGAUAAAUGUAGAAGACUAUCAAAAUGUAAAAAUUAGAAAUCUUUGCUGCAGCAUGAAAAAUACAGAUAAAGCAAUACAAACAAUAAAAGAGCAAUAAAAAGUUAAUGCAAAAUGUAACUCUGUAGAGUAAGUAGACAAUUUUGUAUUAAGUGCUAGAUUAUCAUACUGUAGAUGAUGGACUGUGUUUGUGUUUAACCAUGAAACCUUUUGAAAAUAUGCUACAUUUUCAAUGCAACAGACUGCACAAUCCAAUGCCUUUUCUCCUUUUCUGUCAGACAGUAGCUUCCAUCCAUCAUGUCACUCUUUCCGUGGCUUUCAACAGGCAUGCGUUUGCAUUAGCGGCCUGUGAAAAAUCUUGUUUCCUCCUCUCUUCCCCACAUUUGCCAUUUACAGUUUGCAAGUAACUGGAUGGAAAGAGAGUACAGUCAAUCAUACACAGGCAAAUUCCUACUCCGUCUUCUGGAUUUAUGACAAAAGUUAACCUCAGCUGUGUGGCUGCUCUAUAUUCAACAGAUAUUUUACAGGUAGUCUUCUAAAUAAAUGGUACAGUUAUGGAGUCCGGGGAGCCGACGUGCUGCCAAACCUCGCAAAUGAUAGAUUGCUUCUAGACUACAAGGAUGUAUAGGCUUUCCGCUGCUGUCAGAAUAUGUCCAGCUGAAUGCAUUACCAAACCUUAUGCUGGAAUCACUCAAAUCCUUACCAAGGUCCACAGACAGAUUAACAUAUAAAUGAAACUACAGGCAAGAUCCUGGCCUUCAUUUCCUAUCUGUUUACGCCAAUGAUGUGCGGUCAGAGAGCUUUGGAGGAGGACAGCAAGAUGUCUCUUGGAAUGGAAGUCAGGCCUCUGUAUCAUUGGUAGUAGAGAACAUUGUAGUAAAACUGAAGGAUGCUCCAAAUGAGUAGCCUGAAAAUGUUUUUACUCUGCAGGAGUGGCUAUAUAGUAUUUUAAACUGCUAUACAAAUAAAUGUGUUUCUUAAUUGUUAUUUCUUGUUUUUCCCAAGUCCAGCAGAAGAACAUAUUUUGUAGAUUUUACUGAGUUACUAGAAAUACCUCUGAGCUUUUCUUGAGAGAAAACAAACCUAUAAUUACUACACUGCAUAACUUUAUCAAAUAGCUUGAGGAUUAAUUCCUUAAAAAACUUUCUAAGCUGAAAUUGUUGGCGGUGUUUUAUUAAACUGAGUUUUGGCAUUCAAGAUAUAAUGCAAGUGAGGGAGAUGAAUGCACACUGUCUCCAUAAAAGUCUCAUGUAAGUAAUUUAAUCAGUUGUUAAAUAUUAAAAUCUAUAUCUCUUCUUUAUGGAGAGAAGAAUGUGUAUUUUCCAAAUGGAUUUUCUUUAGGCAAAGAAAAAUGACUUCACCUUACGGGUACAUUUUAUUUUAAUAAAGUAUUAAUAUAACACACUAAUAUAUAAAAAAAAGACUUUAUGGCUUCAUAAUCAAUGAAAUGAAUGGACACACUCUAUAGUGCAAAUCAACUCUAAUCAGUUUACCUCAACAGCAGCGUCUGAACUCAACAAUGUUUUAUUCCUCAACCAAAGAUGACUCUUUAACCGGUGCACUGCUAAGCCUUGCUAAACCCUGCGUUUGUUGUAGCCCUCAAACAUGCAGUGCAGUAAACAAUCAGCAUAUCCAACAAAAUCUCUGUAUAAUUGCAUGUUACACUAAAAGAGCCACUGCUAUUUUCAUCAGUACGCUUGUUUAAGUAAACAGUGUUUACUAGAACAACAGUGUCAUGUUAUGUGUGAAGUAAAAUAGGGGGUAUCUGACUGACAGUUAAUUUAAUUCAAAAUGAGGGACACCUUAUUUGCCAACAGUAAUAAGUAUACAUCUUUCUGUCUUGGCUGCUGUAGGCCAGAAUGUCACAUAGAAACACAAUAAGUACUCGGCAGAGUUGACGGACUGUGUGACAGUGAAACGCACAUGACAAACAGCAGACUUUAAGCUACAUCUUUGGAAGAAAAUUUAAGUGUGCUUAAUAGCAGGUGCAAACAGGUUCAAAUGACUUAAAAUGAAGAUCCCCUCCAAAUGUGUAUUAAGUCAUACAAAUAGUUUCCUUGGAAUGAUAAUGUGUGUGAUAUGUUUUGUUUUUUUCCUGAAAAAAAAGAAGUAUAAUUUACACAUUCAUCUUCUACCUCAUUAAAACCUCCAGAAUCUCUGAAUAUGCAAAUGUUCUUUAUUUCUAAAGUUUUCCUGCUGGACACAAGAUGUCUCCUACUUCACUGUUUAGUCCAUUCACAGUAGAUGUGCACUGGUGGCUUCAAGUUUCUACAUCACACAGUACAAGUUGCAAAUUAGACCAGGGUGGACUUCCAAACGGUUUGUGAUGUCGCAAAUCAUGCUCAUAGGCCCUGGCCAGGAAACUUUCCACUUUCAACAGAUGAAUGUGAAAACAUUUUUCUAGUGUCAAACUCUGCACAGACAUCAUUCUGCACAGUGAAGCUCAAACAUAGGAACAAGAAGAAAAGUAUAAUUCCAGCAACAAAAAAAACUCUUGAAAAAAAUGUUGAGUGGAGGGGGGCUUUAAACGUUAACAUUAGAGUUACUGUAUGGGAGUUGCAGUUUAAGCACCUAAAGCAGCUGGAAGUGUCAGCUGACAAUGUAGCACUGAAAGGGUUUGAAGUGUCUGUUAAAGUGUAAAAGCUGAAAUCAGUUGAAGCGUACUUAAAGCAGUUGAGGUGUCAGUAUACGUUAAAAGACUGACAGGGUUUGAAGCACCUCUAGCAGUUGAAAUCAGCUGAAGCAUUUGAAAUGUUCCUUUUCAGUUUACAUUUAAGUGCUAAAAGUAGUUGAGCUGACAGUUAACUGUUAGCUGAAAUGUCAGUUGAUGUCUAAGCCAUGAAGGCAGUUGAAAUGUCAGUUGAAAUAACCCCCAAAGCUGAUAUGUGUUUUUACUGGUGAACUGACCUGUAUGUUUACAUUUCCUGACAAGCAACCUCUCCUGGUGCUGCAAAUAAUCACGGUACUUCGGGCGUACAAAGGCAGAAAGAGCAUGAUGCACUUCAAGCUGAUGCAAAAAAAAAAAAGUCUCCAGGAGUUUUGGGUGGAUGAAUGGGUUUCAAAGCAUGUCACCACAGUUUAUAUGCCCCAUCUUCUACCAACAGUCAACUUUGAUUUUAUUUCUAACCACAAAGGUUUCCAGUAUGACCACUGUACUACAUUAAACAAGUAUAGUUCUAAGCUGGUGAUACUUCAUGAAAUGUUAGCCUAAAUGAAUCCACCCCCCCCCCAGUCAUAUUAAUACUCACAUUCCUCGAGGCACUGGCCGAGGAGGUGGAGUGGCAGCCAUAUUUGAUUCGAGCGUUUUAAUGGACCCUAAACCUAAACUAAAUUAUAAUUCAUUUGAAAGCCUUGUUCUUAGUCUUUCUCACCCAAACUGGAAAACACUGCAGCCAGUUCUAUUUGUUAUAGUGUACCGUGCUCCUGGACCGUACUCUGAUUUUAUAUCUGAGUUUCUAUCAAGUUUAGUCCUUAAAUCAGAUAAAGUAAUUAUUGUAGGUGAUUUUAAUAUUCAUGUGGAUGUUGACAAUGACAGCCUUAGUAAUGCAUUUAUAUCAUUAAUAGACUCAAUUGGCUUCUGUCAGAGUGUAAAUUAACCAACUCAUUGUUUUAACUGUCUCUCGCUCUCUCUCUCUCUGCCUCUCUCUCUCUCUCUCUCUCUCACCCCAACUGGUCGAGACAGACGACCACCCACCUAGAGCCGGAGGAUCUGUCCUAGGUUUCUGCCUUUUAACAGGCAGUUUUUCCUUGCCCUUGUCGCCAAGUGCUUGCUCAUGGUGGUACUGUUGGGUCUCUGUAAUUAAUGUUAAAGAGUUCGGUCUAGACCUGCUCUAUUUGAAAAGUGUCCUGAGAUAACUUCUGUUAUGAAUUGGCGCUAUACAAAUAAAAUUGAAUUGAAUUGAA